GACGAACCGUGCGAACGUUGUUCGGAUUCACUGGGCUUAAAGGGCGCGUAGGCGGGCGAUCAAGUCAAGGGUGAAACCUUUCGGCUCAACCGGAAGACUGCCCCUGAUACUGGUCGUCUCGAGGGAGGCAGGGGCACGCGGAACUUCCGGUGGAGCGGUGAAAUGCGUAGAUAUCGGAAGGAACGCCGGUGGCGAAAGCGGCGUGCUGGACCUUUCCUGACGCUGAGGCGCGAAAGCCAGGGGAGCAAACGGG
This 253-nucleotide ribosomal RNA is filed under the name uncultured bacterium. RNAcentral's name for it is "partial 16S ribosomal RNA". It matches the Rfam family "Bacterial small subunit ribosomal RNA", at positions 524 to 776 of the family's 1533-position model. The record is from RNAcentral.